CACAUGCAGUCUAGCGGUAGCACAGAUAGCUUGCUCUCGGGUGACUAGCGGCGGACGGGUGAGUAAUGUCUGGGAAACUGCCUGAUGGAGGGGGAUAACUACUGAGACACGAUAGCUAAUACCGCAUAAUGUCCCAACACCAACGUGGGGGACCUUCGGGCCUCAUGCCAUCAAAUGUGCCCAUAUGGGAUUACCUAUUAUCUGUGGUAACGCCUCACCUAAGCGACGAUCCCUAGCUGGUCUGAGAUGACCACCGACCCCACUGCAACUGAAACCCCGCCCAUACCCCUACUGCUAGGCGUCGA
This 305-nucleotide ribosomal RNA is filed under the name Pectobacterium sp. RNAcentral describes it as "bacterial SSU rRNA". It matches the Rfam family "Bacterial small subunit ribosomal RNA", at positions 60 to 350 of the family's 1533-position model. Lineage: Bacteria; Pseudomonadati; Pseudomonadota; Gammaproteobacteria; Enterobacterales; Pectobacteriaceae. The record is from RNAcentral.